GAUGAACGCUGGCGGCAUGCCUAAUACAUGCAAGUCGAGCGACCGCAUAAUAAGCUUUCUCCUCUGCCGUUAGCGACUGACGGAUGAGUAAGACAUAGAUAACCUUCCUAUAAGUCUGGGGUAACUACGGGGAACCACAGCCGCUACCACAUCAUAUAUCCAACCGGAUGAUUCAAGAGAUCAUGACGCUUUUCCCGUCUCUUAUAGAUGGUUCCGCGCCGCAUUAGCUAGUUGGUAAGGUAACGGCUUACCAAGGCGACGAUGCGUAGCCGACCUGAGAGGGUGAUCGGCCACACUGGAACUGAGACACGGUCCAGACUCCUACGGGAGGCAGCAGUAGGGAAUCUUGCGCAAUGGGCGAAAGCUUGACGCAGCAAUGCCGCGUGAGUGAAGAAGGUCUUCGGAUCGUAAAACUCUGUUGUUAGGGAAGAACAAAUGUGUGAGAAACUAUGGCUGUCUUGACGGUACCUAAUCAGAAAGCCACGGCUAACUUCGUG
Molecule: ribosomal RNA, 497 nt
Filed under: uncultured bacterium
Lineage: Bacteria
Description: partial 16S ribosomal RNA
Rfam family: Bacterial small subunit ribosomal RNA
Source: RNAcentral